This 851-nucleotide ribosomal RNA is filed under the name Pedobacter sp. RNAcentral describes it as "bacterial SSU rRNA". It matches the Rfam family "Bacterial small subunit ribosomal RNA", at positions 70 to 922 of the family's 1533-position model. The record is from RNAcentral. Lineage: Bacteria; Pseudomonadati; Bacteroidota; Sphingobacteriia; Sphingobacteriales; Sphingobacteriaceae.
ACUCUUUAGCUUGCUARAGAGGAAAGUGGCGCACGGGUGCGUAACGCGUAUGCAACCUACCUUAAUCAGGGGGAUAGCCCGAAGAAAUUCGGAUUAACACCGCAUAAAAUCACAGUACAGCAUUGUACAAUGAUCAAAUAUUUAUAGGAUUAAGAUGGGCAUGCGUGACAUUAGUUAGUUGGCGGGGUAACGGCCCACCAAGACCACGAUGUCUAGGGGAUCUGAGAGGAUGACCCCCCACACUGGUACUGAGACACGGACCAGACUCCUACGGGAGGCAGCAGUAAGGAAUAUUGGUCAAUGGAGGCAACUCUGAACCAGCCAUGCCGCGUGCAGGAAGACAGCCCUCUGGGUCGUAAACUGCUUUUAUUCGGGAAUAAACCUAYYUACGUGUARAUAGCUGAAUGUACCGAAGGAAUAAGGAUCGGCUAACUCCGUGCCAGCAGCCGCGGUAAUACGGAGGAUCCAAGCGUUAUCCGGAUUUAUUGGGUUUAAAGGGUGCGUAGGCGGCUUUUUAAGUCAGGGGUGAAAGACGGUGGCUCAACCAUCGCAGUGCCCUUGAUACUGAAGAGCUUGAAUGAACUAGAGGUAGGCGGAAUGUGACAAGUAGCGGUGAAAUGCAUAGAUAUGUCACAGAACACCGAUUGCGAAGGCAGCUUACUAUGGUUAAAUUGACGCUGAGGCACGAAAGCGUGGGGAUCAAACAGGAUUAGAUACCCUGGUAGUCCACGCCCUAAACGAUGAAUACUCGCUGUUAGCGAUACACAGUUAGCGGCUAAGCGAAAGCGUUAAGUAUUCCACCUGGGGAGUACGGUCGCAAGAUUGAAACUCAAAGGAAUUGACGGGGGCCC